UGGGGAAUAUUGCACAAUGGGCGCAAGCCUGAUGCAGCCAUGCCGCGUGUAUGAAGAAGGCCUUCGGGUUGUAAAGUACUUUCAGUCGGGAGGAAGGUGGUAAGGUUAAUAACCUUGGCAAUUGACGUUACCGACAGAAGAAGCACCGGCUAACUCCGUGCCAGCAGCCGCGGUAAUACGGAGGGUGCAAGCGUUAAUCGGAAUUACUGGGCGUAAAGCGCACGCAGGCGGUUGAUUGAGUCAGAUGUGAAAUCCCCGGGCUUAACCCGGGAAUUGCAUCUGAUACUGGUCAGCUAGAGUCUUGUAGAGGGGGGUAGAAUUCCAUGUGUAGCGGUGAAAUGCGUAGAGAUGUGGAGGAAUACCGGUGGCGAAGGCGGCCCCCUGACAAAGACUGACGCUCAGGUGCGAAAGCGUGGGGAGCAAACAGG
RNAcentral lists this ribosomal RNA (428 nucleotides) under Chloroflexota bacterium. Its description in RNAcentral is "Chloroflexi bacterium partial 16S ribosomal RNA". It matches the Rfam family "Bacterial small subunit ribosomal RNA", at positions 355 to 776 of the family's 1533-position model. Lineage: Bacteria; Bacillati; Chloroflexota. The record is from RNAcentral.